UACGGGGGGAGCAAGCGUUGUUCGGAGUUAUUGGGCGUAAAGGGCGUACAGGCGGUGGUGUAAGUCAGAUGUGAAAUGUUCCGGCUCAACCGGGACCCUGCAUUUGAUACUGCAUCACUUGAGUACAGGAGAGGAGAGCGGAAUUCUCGGUGUAGCGGUGGAAUGUGUAGAUAUCGGGAAGAACACCAGUGGCGAAGGCGGCUCUCUGGCCUGAUACUGACGCUGACGCGCGAAAGCUAGGGAAGCAAACAGG
RNAcentral lists this ribosomal RNA (253 nucleotides) under uncultured bacterium. Its description in RNAcentral is "partial 16S ribosomal RNA". It matches the Rfam family "Bacterial small subunit ribosomal RNA", at positions 524 to 776 of the family's 1533-position model. The record is from RNAcentral.